RNAcentral lists this ribosomal RNA (301 nucleotides) under uncultured bacterium. RNAcentral's name for it is "partial 16S ribosomal RNA". It matches the Rfam family "Bacterial small subunit ribosomal RNA", at positions 509 to 807 of the family's 1533-position model. The record is from RNAcentral.
CAGUCGCCACGGGAAUACGUAGGGUGCAAGCGUUAAUCGGAAUUACUGGGCGUAAAGAGCUCGUAGGCGGUUUGUCGCGUCGUCUGUGAAAUUCUGCAGCUUAACUGCAGGCGUGCAGGCGAUACGGGCAGACUUGAGUACUACAGGGGAGACUGGAAUUCCUGGUGUAGCGGUGAAAUGCGCAGAUAUCAGGAGGAACACCGGUGGCGAAGGCGGGUCUCUGGGUAGUAACUGACGCUGAGGAGCGAAAGCGUGGGUAGCGAACAGGAUUAGAUACCCCUGUAGUCCCUGUCUCUUAUAC